AUGCUCACCUGAGCACAUACACUAAAACUUAAACUAUACUGACAAGAUCAGCAUAGUCCCAGCUCAAGGAUGACAUGGAAAACCACAAAAGUUGUGGGGCUAGAGUAUU
This is a small nuclear RNA of Dipodomys ordii (Ord's kangaroo rat), 109 nucleotides long. The record is from Ensembl. NCBI's taxonomy places the organism in Eukaryota, Metazoa, Chordata, Mammalia, Rodentia, Heteromyidae.